This is a long non-coding RNA of Triticum dicoccoides, 851 nucleotides long. RefSeq lists it as uncharacterized. The record is from RefSeq and is a predicted model, not a curated record. NCBI's taxonomy places the organism in Eukaryota, Viridiplantae, Streptophyta, Magnoliopsida, Poales, Poaceae. The transcript is spliced from 3 exons.
GCGACUACGAUGCGGUCGCACGGUGGCGGGCGAGGCGACGUGACGCGGUCGCACGGUGGGGGGACGAGGCGAGGCCAUGUGCAGCGAGGCGAAGGGCGGGCGACGCGGCCGUAGGGUCCCGUCGAGCGCGCGACGGCGCGAGAGGCUCCGCGACGCGGCGCUGCGGCUGUCCCGUGAAGCUGAUCCGCCGAAAUGCGCCCCUCGCCGCCGGCGAUCAGUGGAGUUGAUUAGGAACAACGUAGUCUGAUGAGAUGAUAAUGCAGCUUCCGAAUCAAUUGUAGCCUCCGUCAGUGGCCACGUCGAGGGAUCAAUCCCAUUGUGUUCUCAUUCCCAGCAGAAGAUAAAAUUAUAUCUGUUUCCGAAUUUGUGGACUCAUUGACCCUCAUCAACACAUAUGAACCGACCUACCGACCUGUUGCUAACUCUACUUGAUCAUGUAUGCCCCUGUAUCACAGGAUUUAUUCAUCUCUAUCCACAUGUGCCCAUGUUCUUAUUUGUGAGCAGUUUCACUUCUACAUACAGUCCCAUAUCAGAACACAACACAUGGUCAUGUCUUUUCUUAAAUAUUUAAGUUACUUGGAACUUUUACAUGCGAAAACCAUAUGAAAUUAACCUGUCAAAACUGUCCAGGAGUGCUCCGAAAGAAAAAUCUUCCAUCCCGAGCUACCGGAAUUUCGGUAUGUCUUGGCUUGCUUCUUCUGUAGGACUCCUCUAGAUGAACUAUAGUCCAAAUCAAUUUAUAGAUACAUUACAGCUAUCAUUAUGUCACUCUGUUUCUUCUACCUUAUUUAUACUUUUCUUACGUGCCAACUUUCUAUUUGUAUCUCUAUAUUCAGGGCUGUGAUGUGUUA